CGAUGGCGACCGGCGCACGGGUGAGUAACACGUAUCCAACCUGCCGAUGACUCGGGGAUAGCCUUUCGAAAGAAAGAUUAAUACCCGAUGGCAUAGUUCUUCCGCAUGGUAGAACUAUUAAAGAAUUUCGGUCAUCGAUGGGGAUGCGUUCCAUUAGGUUGUUGGCGGGGUAACGGCCCACCAAGCCUUCGAUGGAUAGGGGUUCUGAGAGGAAGGUCCCCCCACAUUGGAACUGAGACACGGUCCAAACUCCUACGGGAGGCAGCAUG
RNAcentral lists this ribosomal RNA (269 nucleotides) under uncultured bacterium. RNAcentral's name for it is "partial 16S ribosomal RNA". It matches the Rfam family "Bacterial small subunit ribosomal RNA", at positions 86 to 353 of the family's 1533-position model. The record is from RNAcentral.